Molecule: ribosomal RNA, 433 nt
Filed under: uncultured bacterium
Lineage: Bacteria
Description: bacterial SSU rRNA
Rfam family: Bacterial small subunit ribosomal RNA
Source: RNAcentral
AACGCGAAGAACCUUACCAGGGCUUGACAUGUCGCGAACCCUCUUGAAAGGGAGGGGUGCCUACGGGAGCGCGAACACAGGUGCUGCAUGGCUGUCGUCAGCUCGUGUCGUGAGAUGUUGGGUUAAGUCCCGCAACGAGCGCAACCCUUGUCCCUAGUUGCCAGCAUUAAGUUGGGCACUCUAGGGAGACUGCCGGUGACAAACCGGAGGAAGGUGGGGAUGACGUCAAGUCAUCAUGGCCUUUAUGUCCAGGGCUACACACGUGCUACAAUGGGCGGCACAAAGGGUUGCGAAGCCGCGAGGCAGAGCUAAUCCCAAAAAUCCGUCCUCAGUCCGGAUUGCAGUCUGCAACUCGACUGCAUGAAGUUGGAAUCGCUAGUAAUCCCAGAUCAGCAUGCUGGGGUGAAUACGUUCCCGGGCCUUGUACACACCG